UUCUGGGAGGAUUGACGGAUUGAGAGCUCUUUCUUCAUUCUGCGGAUGGUGGUGCUUGUCCUUUCUUAGUUGGUGGAGCGAUUUGUCUGGUUAAUUCCGAUAACGAACGAGACUCUAGCGUAUUAAAAACGUGCGUGGUUCUCUGCAACCUGCAGCCUUCUUAGAGGGACACGCGGCUUGUAGCCGCACGAAACAGAGCGAUAACAGGUCUGUGAUGCGCUUAGAU
Molecule: non-coding RNA, 226 nt
Organism: Ixodes scapularis (black-legged tick)
Lineage: Eukaryota; Metazoa; Arthropoda; Arachnida; Ixodida; Ixodidae
Source: Rfam